UUCCGUACUCAUAACCAUAUUAAAAUAACUCUCAUCCAUAGUGCAUACAUAUUAUGCAAGUUGCAUCCAUACCAAAUCAUAUAUUACACCAGUUUCAUCCACAUGCAUACAAAGUUUCAUAUAUAUGCAUAUACUACAAUAGUUUCAAUACGAGCCAUGGUACAAGAAAUCAUCUUCAAGCAUUCCAUCAAAUAUAAUCCAAGCUUCCCGUGAAGUGAAGGUAAUCUCCAAAAUGACAAAUAAGAAACUUAGAAGAAUAAUACUAGAUUAAGAAGUAUAUAUAUAGGUUAUUUCGGAGAGAAAUUAGCUAAGUAUAGACCAUUUAGGAGCUAACUAAGCUAAUUAUGUCAUUUAGGUGGAAUCCUAGCUAACCAUAGGUCGUUUCGGAGCUAACUUGGGUAAAAUAGGUCAUUUCGGAGCAAACUAUGCUUAUUAAGCCAUUUUGGAUCUAGCUAGGCUAAUUAUAGGCCAUUUAAUACCUAAGUUAGGGGGAAUAUGUCAUCUUGCAGCUACGUAAGCCUUAUUAUGUCAUUUAGGAGAGAACUUAGCUAACUGUAGGUCAUUUUUUAUGAAAUAGGUCAUUUUGGAGCUAACUAAGCUAAUUAUGUCAUUUCRUAGGAUAAUUAGCCAAUUUAGCCUUUCUUGGAUGAGUCUAAGCUACGUAGAAGAAGAGAAAGAGAAGAAGAAGUAAAAAGAAGUAGGAGGAGGAGRAGGAGGAGAAGGAGAAGGAAGAGGAGAAGAAGGAAAGAAGAAGGAGAAGGAGAAGGAGGAAGAAGGAGGAAGAAGAAGGAGAAGGAGGAGCUCCUUCUCCUUCUUUCCUCCUUCUUCUCCUUCUCCUUAUCCUCCUCCUUCUCCUUCUUCUUCUUCUCUUCUUCUUCUUCUUCCUUCCUUACAUUUUUCCUCUUUCUUCUCCUCUUGUCCCCUUCUUCGGGCUAAAUUGGCUAAGAAUGCCUUUUUGGAGCUAAUUAUGUCAUUUCGAGGAUAAUUAGCUAAGUAUAGGUCAUGUUUUAUUAAAUAGACCAUUUAGGAGCUAACUAAGCUAAUUAUGUCAUCUAGGUGGAACCCUAGCUAACUGUAGGUCGUUUCGGAGCUAACUUCGGUAAAAUAGGUCAUUCUGGAGCAAACUAUGCUUAUUAAGCCAUUUUGGAUCUAGCUAGGCUAAUUAUAGGCCAUUUAAUACCUAAGUUAGGGGGAAUAGGUCAUCUUCUAACUACGUAAGCCUUAUUAUGUCAUUUAGGAGAGAACUUAGCUAACUGUAGGUCAUUUUUUAUUAAAUAGGUCAUUUUGGAGCUAACUAAGCUAAUUAUGUCAUUUCGUAGGAUAAUUAGCCAAUUUAGCCUUUCUUCGAGCUAACUAAGCUAAUUAUGUCAUUUAGAUGGAAGUCUAGCUAUUUUUUAUUGAAACACUAGAAAUAACAUACCAUUAUCGUCAUCACAGCGGUGAAGCAUGGUGGAUCUGGCUUGUUUCACCUCGAGAAGGAUGCCCUGGAGAAGGCUCGGCUAUAGAAGGGUCGUGCGAUGCAUUU
This 1525-nucleotide long non-coding RNA is filed under the name Hordeum vulgare. RNAcentral's name for it is "long non-coding RNA (HVUL_LNC007304)". The record is from RNAcentral. Lineage: Eukaryota; Viridiplantae; Streptophyta; Magnoliopsida; Poales; Poaceae.